Molecule: ribosomal RNA, 120 nt
Filed under: Cyanistes caeruleus (blue tit)
Lineage: Eukaryota; Metazoa; Chordata; Aves; Passeriformes; Paridae
Source: RNAcentral
GCCUACGGCCAUACCACCCUGAGAAAGGCCCGAUCCCGUCUGAUCUCGGAAGGUAAAUAGGGUCAGGCCAGGUUAGUACUUGGAUGGGAGACUGCCUGGGAAGACUGUGUGCUGUAGGCC